UGAUCCUGGCUCAGAUUGAACGCUGGCGGUAGGCUUAACACAUGCAAGUCGUGCGAGAAAGUAUCUUCGGAUAUGAGUAGAGCGGCGGACGGGUGAGUAACGCGUAGGAAUCUACCUAGUAGAAGGGGAUAGCCCGAGGAAACUCGGAUUAAUACCGUAUACCUCCUUCGGGAGAAAGAAGGCCUCUCAUUGAAGCUUUCGCUACUAGAUGAGCCUGCGUAAGAUUAGCUUGUUGGUGAGGUAAAGGCUCACCAAGGCAACGAUCUUUAGCGGGUCUGAGAGGACGAUCCGCCACAUUGGGACUGAGACACGGCCCAGACUCCUACGGGAGGCAGCAGUGGGGAAUAUUGGACAAUGGGCGCAAGCCUGAUCCAGCCAUACCGCGUGUGUGAAGAAGGCCCUAGGGUUGUAAAGCACUUUAAGUUGGGAAGAAAAGUUAUUGGCUAAUACCCAAUGACCGUGACAUUACCUUCAGAAUAAGGACCGGCUAAUUCCGUGCCAGCAGCCGCGGUAAUACGGAAGGUCCAAGCGUUAAUCGGAAUUACUGGGCGUAAAGCGCGCGUAGGUGGUUUAUUAAGUUGGAUGUGAAAUCCCCGGGCUCAACCUGGGAACUGCAUCCAAAACUGAUUCACUAGAGUACGAUAGAGGGAGGUAGAAUUCACAGUGUAGCGGUGGAAUGCGUAGAUAUUGUGAAGAAUACCAAUGGCGAAGGCAGCCUCCUGGAUCUGUACUGACACUGAGGUGCGAAAGCGUGGGUAGCGAACAGGAUUAGAUACCCUGGUAGU
Molecule: ribosomal RNA, 785 nt
Filed under: uncultured marine bacterium
Lineage: Bacteria
Description: bacterial SSU rRNA
Rfam family: Bacterial small subunit ribosomal RNA
Source: RNAcentral